CUUCCCAACUGCUGUGUGUCUCAUCCAUCACCUCAUUGAAGAUGGUUGGUCAGCCAGGGAGACAAAGGGCAGGGAGAUCUGGAGCCUUCAAUAAAUCCUGCAGUGAGGUAAUCAGGAUGUUCCUAACUCCUGUCUCAUCCAUCACCUCAUUGAAGCUGGUUGGUCAGCCAGAGAGAGAGAGAGAGAUAGAGAGAGGGAGACCUGGAGCCUUCAGUCAAUCCUGCAGCCGGUACUCAGGAAAGUGCUGACUCCAUAGACUUCCCAAUUGCUGGGUGUCUCGUCCAACACCUCAUUGAAGUUGAUUGGUCAGCCAGAGAGACAAAGGGCAGAGAGAUCUGGAGCCUUCAAUAAAUCCUGCAGUGAGGUACUCAGGAAAGUCCUGACUCAAUAGCCUUCCCAGCUGCGGGGUGGAUUGUCCAUCACCACAUUGAACGCAGUUGGUCUGCCAGAGGGAGACAAAGGGCAGGGAGAUCUGGAGCCUUCAAUAAAUCCUGUA
Molecule: long non-coding RNA, 496 nt
Organism: Hemiscyllium ocellatum (epaulette shark)
Lineage: Eukaryota; Metazoa; Chordata; Chondrichthyes; Orectolobiformes; Hemiscylliidae
Exons: 4
Source: RefSeq, a predicted model, not a curated record